CUACGGGAUGCAGCAGUCGAGAAUCUUCCGCAAUGGGCGAAAGCCUGACGGAGCAAUGCCGCGUGAAUGAUGAAGGCCUUCGGGUUGUAAAGUUCUGUCACCUGGGACGAAAUUUGACGGUACCAGGAGAGGAAGUGACGGCUAAUUACGUGCCAGCAGCCGCGGUAAUACGUAAGUCACGAGCGUUAAUCGGAUUUAUUGGGCGUAAAGGGUCCGCAGGGGGUUUGCUAAGUCUGAUGUGAAAGCCAACGGCUCAACCGUUGAACUGCAUUGGAAACUGGUGAACUGGAGUAUCGGAGAGGAAAGUGGAAUUCCUGGUGUAGCGGUGGAAUGCUUAGAUAUCAGGAGGAACAUCAAUGGCGAAGGCAGCUUUCUGGACGAUUACUGACCCUCAUGGACGAAAGCGUGGGUAGCAAACAGGAUUAGAUACCCGUGUAGUC
Molecule: ribosomal RNA, 440 nt
Filed under: uncultured bacterium
Lineage: Bacteria
Description: partial 16S ribosomal RNA
Rfam family: Bacterial small subunit ribosomal RNA
Source: RNAcentral